UACGAGGGGGGCAAAUGUUGUUCGGAAUCACUGGACGUAAAGGGAGCGUAGGCGGGUUUUUAAGUCAGGUGUUUAAUCCCGGGGCCCAACCCCGGACAGGCACUUGAAACUGGGAAUCUUGAAUAGUGGAGAGGUCGGUGGAAUUGGGGGUGUAGCGGUGGAAUGCGUAGAGAUCCCCAAGAACACCCGUUGCGAAGGCGGCCGACUGGACACAUAUUGACGCUGAGGCUCGAAAGCAUGGGGAGCAAACAGG
Molecule: ribosomal RNA, 253 nt
Filed under: uncultured bacterium
Lineage: Bacteria
Description: partial 16S ribosomal RNA
Rfam family: Bacterial small subunit ribosomal RNA
Source: RNAcentral